This 361-nucleotide ribosomal RNA is filed under the name uncultured Peptococcaceae bacterium. RNAcentral describes it as "bacterial SSU rRNA". It matches the Rfam family "Bacterial small subunit ribosomal RNA", at positions 1023 to 1382 of the family's 1533-position model. The record is from RNAcentral. Lineage: Bacteria; Bacillati; Bacillota; Clostridia; Eubacteriales; Peptococcaceae.
UUGACAGAGAGACAGGUGGUGCAUGGUUGUCGUCAGCUCGUGUCGUGAGAUGUUGGGUUAAGUCCCGCAACGAGCGCAACCCUUAUUUUUAGUUGCCAGCAGGUAAGGCUGGGCACUCUAGAGAGACUGCCGGUGACAAACCGGAGGAAGGUGGGGAUGACGUCAAAUCAUCAUGCCCUUUAUGUCCUGGGCUACACACGUACUACAAUGGCCUGUACAAAGGGUAGCGAAGCCGCGAGGUGAAGCCAAUCCCAAAAAGCAGGUCUCAGUUCGGAUUGUAGGCUGCAACUCGCCUACAUGAAGUCGGAAUCGCUAGUAAUCGCGGAUCAGCUACGCCGCGGUGAAUACGUUCUCGGGCCUU